GUGCUCGCUUUGGCAGCACAUAUACUAGAACUGGAACAAUACAGAGAAGAGUAACAUGGCCCCUGCACAAGAAUGACACACACAUUCGAGAAGGGAGCUAUCAAUUA
Small nuclear RNA from Octodon degus (degu), 107 nucleotides. The record is from Ensembl. Lineage: Eukaryota; Metazoa; Chordata; Mammalia; Rodentia; Octodontidae.